This 1030-nucleotide long non-coding RNA is filed under the name Capsella rubella. Its description in RNAcentral is "long non-coding RNA (CRUB_LNC003498)". The record is from RNAcentral. Lineage: Eukaryota; Viridiplantae; Streptophyta; Magnoliopsida; Brassicales; Brassicaceae.
UAGGAUUAUGAAGGUAUAGUGAAUAGUUGUUUUUUUUUUCGUAUAUGGCUGCGGUUUGUGUCUGUGUCAGGUCAUCUAACAAAGCAAGAUAGGUUUAACUUUGUACCAAUUUUGUGUCGGAAGAUGACAAGAUUAGUUAAUAGACCUCCAUGGCAUUAUCUUCAUGGAACUCAUCUCUUCCAUGGAGUAGGUCUAUAGAGGUCACACAUCCACAUUAAUAUCUAUGUUCCAAUCAAUCUCUCUGGUCAAUAUUAUUACCAUUUUUCGAGUUCAUGAUUUUAAUUUCUUGUUGUUGAAUCUUGAAUUUACUGGUUUCUUAUGCCUGAGAAGAUUGGCAUUUUUUUUUUUGCAGUCAUCCUUAAAGCAAAUAGGUUAUAAUUUCAUCACCAAAUUUGUGUCGGAAGAUGACGACAUUGAUUUUGCCUCUCCAUGACAAUUUUAUUCAUUGAAAUCAUUCUCUUCAAUGGAGUAGAUUUGUGGAGGGGCACAUUAUUUUGCAUUCGAUUAAUGUGUUUGGGAUCAUUUUGAAUGCCUUAAACGUUAGUGUUUUUUUUUAAUCACUACAUGAUUUGAGAAGCCAGAAACAAGACAAACCGAGGUACCGGUGUCCAUUGAUACAGAGCAGUACAAUAGUUGUAACAAGUGAAAGGGUUUGUUAAAAUAUAAGAAUCGAACCGGCUUCGUAAUAUUUGUUUUUGCUGAUUAAGAUGAAUAAAUGUGAUGAAUUAUGAUGCACAUUUAAAAUUUUACAUUCGAUCUCGGAGAUCAGUCGAACAAACCACGGACUGAAUUUGCAAUGAUGAAAGAUUGACGAAAUUUUAAAAUCUGAAUUUGGCAGUUUCAAUUGGUUAUUUGGUCGAAUGUUCUGGUCCGGACUUGGUUAUCUAGAUACUCCUCCUAACUUGUCAAAUCACGGGGUGAUAUAAUUAUUUCUAUUAGUCUACGCGUAACAAAAUAUUAAUUUUAAUGGGAGAAACAAUAUUACGCGGGGGAAAAGUAAACGAACACGGACCAGACGACGUAUAAGCCG